UUUUUUUUCUUUUUCAUUAUAAAAAGUAAACUUUUUAUUGACAGAGACAGGAAAAGCAGCAAAGUCCCCAAUACCUGAAAUUUGUUUGAAGGAGAACGCUAUUCUGUUCCAUCACAUUCUGUUCUCAUAGGCAAUACAAUUAAUACAGGAGUGUUGGUGUUUACAUCCUCCUCAUAAAUUUAAUCAGCUUCCAAUUAUAAAAAGAAAAUAUCCCAAACUGUCCAACUACUUAAUGAAAACCACUUCAACUAGCUACACUUUUUAAAUCUACACCUUAUCCUAUUUGCACACUGUAUUUAUUUUGAUUUUCAAACCUUCAGUCACCUACACUCAACAAUAAAUCUAAUUUUCUACAGCCAACAAACAUUACUACAUCACAUCUGCUACACAGAAGAGAUGAGAGCCAAAAAUACCAGUCCUGAUGAUUGCUGUACUUUUGGCCUAAAUUUGUAUAUAAAAGUAAAUUGGAUCAUGAUUGUUUCUUUCAAAGUCAAAUAAAUAUGGCUCCAUGCAUUCACUGAACAAAUAAUUUAGUGAAAGCCAACUAUGUGUCAAGCACUGAAUUCAAUCAUUAAUACCUUAUUCUAUUGUAAAAAAAAUUACACAUUUUCCAAAAUCCACAAGCUAGCUAUAAUAUAACGCUUCUCCAAACACCUUUUUUUUCAAUAAAGAGCCAUUUUGGAUCCUUCAUGCCAGUAAAUUAAUUGGUAAAGAAGCAUUGUCAAACCUAACCAUUCUGAUCCCAACUUGCAUGUUGGCUGCUCGCUUUUCCUACCUCACUGUGGCUCUUUUCCUACUUCAUUGUGACCUCUAGUUUAUUUAAAAAUCCACUUUCUUUAAACCAUCAUCUCUUCUCUUCCUUCACUUCCUUCCUUAUUUAUCUCAUAGCAUAUGUCCUUUUCCAGCAAAUCUUUGGCUAAUACUCAAAAUUCCUCUGCUUGACUGACUUAUUUUAUUUUGUCUUUUGUUGCCUUUUCUCGAGCUGCUCCUACCACGUAUGGAGGUUCCCAGGCUAGGGAUCUAAUCAGAGCUGUAGCCACCAGCCUAUGCCAGAGCCACAGCAACGUGGGAUCUGAGUUGUGUCUGCGACCUACACCACAGCUCACGGCAAUGCCGGAUCCUUAACCCACUGAGCAAGGCCAGGGAUCGAACCUGCAACCUCAUGGUUCCUAGUUGGAUUCAUUAACCACUGUGCCAUGACAGGAACUCCUUGACUGACUUGUUAUGAUAAGCUAUGGCAGUCAGGGGUCAAUCAGCAAAUAGUAUCACUAGGAAAAUUAUAGAAGACUUGACCUUAGGAAAGUUGUUUUAAUAGUUUACAUAUGACUAUUACUUCUGCUUCAACUCCUAAGCCUAGUCCAGAAACUGAAGAAGUUGAAGCUGGAGAUCCAGCAGGAGCUCUAGAACCUGUGCAUCUGGCUGCUGCCCAUGCCAAUAAAAUCAGAUAUUCUAUCAAUGACCACAAACUCAUGCACGUGAGUUGUAACAGCUCCUGCAGCCACCACACUGACCAUCUAUGCAUCAAAAGAAGGUAACUCUGAUUCCCUUUGACUUUCAAAAUCUACUGUAAAAUGUUUCUCACAGCUCAUGCUAACAGAGACCUAUGCAGGAAAGAAAAUACCGGUCCAACUUAGCUAAUGCCAUGCAAAUUCACCAGUCUUCACUCUUUGUCAAUCUGGCAUCAUAUUCACCUCUUUUAACAAUACUGAACUUCCAAUGAAGACAACAGCAAAUUUAUGCUUCCACCUCAAUUACCCCUCAUGAAAUCAAAAUACAUUAUUAUUCUCUGUAAAAGAGGAUACAAAGUUUUUCAUGCAAAUUUAAGUGGUAUUCCUUCCUCUUCUUGCUGAGAUUAAUUCCUUUUGACAGCCUAGAACUUAAAUACUAAGACAUUAAGGUUAAAUAGUAUUAAUACAGCUUAUGUUGGAGUGCCCUUGGUGGCUCAGUAGGUUAAAGGGCCAGCAUUAUCACUGCUGUGGCUUGGGUCACUGCUGUGGUGCAGGUUCAAUCUCUGGUCCCAGAACAUCCACAUGCCUCAGGCAUGGCUUAGCAAAAAAAAGACAGCUUAUAUUAAUGGUAGAGAAAUUGGAGAAGAGAAGAAAAAAUUAUUAGUAUAUACAAGUGACAUUUAUAUCAAAAUUGAGAAAAAUUCCCAUAAUUAUUAUAAUCCUUGUUUCUACAAUGGUUCAUGUAAUCAAAGUUAGUAUUUACAACUGCCUUCUUCUCCUAUCCACUUCAUGUCCCCUUUGCCUCCAGCAAGCUCCUCAGUUGGUCAUAAUUCCUUGUAUGGAAAGGUGACCCAAUCCUUCACCCCUAAGGGAUCUAGAGCAUUGGUAUCCUGUCUGUUCGGGGUUGUAGUUUCCCGGUGACUUUAAUCAGAGGAUACAGGAGUAGUAAGUGGGACCUCAGGGGAUAUCCUGCAUUCCAAAAAUACUCUUUAUCCCCAUUAGAUAGAGUCAAUCUAAUAUUCUCUUUAUAGUCAGAAUCAAUCAUCUCAACCAGUAGCAUGAAACCCUUCUUUGCUUAUUGAUUUACUAGCCUUAAGAGUCCACAGUGGUCAAGUGGCAGACACAACUUCCAACUUAAUGCAAUCAUGCUGUAUUCUCUGAUGAAGGCAUCUCUUGCUUGAGAACUAAAACUUCCAUUAAAUCCUAAAAUUGCAGAAAAGGGACACACACACACAAAAAAAAUAUUUCCUAUGGUUAAGAGUAAAAGAAUCUACCCCCAUUUCUACCCUUUGAUUCCCAGAACUAUGAAUACUAGCUAUGGAAGAAACAGCACCAUAUAUCACUGAUUCUGAACACACAUCGUUUCAUAAGAGAUUUAUCAUAGACCUAGUGGUGUUGCCACCUAGCUGGCACCAUAACAGAGCUUUAAAAAGUCAUUCCACUAUUCUAUCAGGCCAGCUGCUUCAGGAUAAGGGGAAUGAGGUAAGAACAGAGAAUCAUCUAAGCAUGAGCACAGAACUUCAUUUUCUGUAUGGAUCAGUGGUAUACGAAAUGCCAUGAUUAUUAACAAGACAUUUGAUAAGUUCAUGGACAGUAGUUUUCGCAGAAAUAUUGCAGGAAAAAAAAAAGUUAAAUCUGGAGUUCCCGUCGUUGCUCAGUGGUUAACGAACCCAACCAGUAUUCAUGAGGACACGGGUUCAGUCCUUGAUCUCGCUCAGUGGGUUAGGGAUCUGGUGUUGCUGUGAGCUGCCUAAUCUAAUGAGAACAAAUGUUAACUCUUUCGUGAUGGUUCUAAGUAACCAACCUCCCACCAGGUAGUUGGCAAAUGCUCUCAAGAAAGGAUGUCAUCCUAGGGGCUCAGCGUUGGUCUCUGCUGCUGACAGGUUGAAUACUCAAUGGUGUCUGAAGUCGAGUGGGCCUUACUGAUUAGAAUACCAUGUUGCUGAACCCAUGUAUAAUCUCCAUUUAUGUCACCAUUCUUACUUUGUUCAUUAGCCUAUUAAGCAAGAACAGGGGUGUUUGCUUUAAGAGGCUGACUUACGUCGAGAGAAUAGGUCAUGCUGCCUACCUAUUAUUACAGUUCUCCUCCACAGAAAUGGUUCUUUGGUGAUCAUUCACAUGGGAUACAAGUACAGGCAUUCUCUGCCUAUGAUGAGAGGUCUCAUACUUUUUCCCCUAGGCUUUGUGUCACUGAUUUUCCAGUCAUGUUCCUUCUAAGCUCCUAACCCCAUCAAGCCAAAUUAUUAACUUUCCAUGCAAUAACAUAGAUCCUUAUCUUCAGCCAUCUCUUUUUCUAGCCAAAAUGAAGAACGAGGUCCACAAAACGGGCUGGAGGUCUGCCAGCUGGGAAGAUCUUCCUCCUCCAGUGACAUUCAGAGCCUCCCCCAAAGUGCACAGCCAUCCACAUUUUGAUGGUAUCAGCAUGAAGCACUGUCUUCUAAGUUAACUGGCCCUGGGAAAUUUCCCAUUCAAUCAUCAAUUCAGGCUGAGAGGAAAGAAGCAGUGGAGGAGGAGUCUUGGGCCCAUGCCUUCAGUACCUGCUUAUGCCCAACCUCAAUAAAAACAAAUUCUGCUUGAUGAUGAAGUGUUACUAUGCUCAGCAACUUAAAUCUUUUUUCCUUUUGAGAAACAGCUUACCCACAGACCAUCAAGUUAUCAGGCAACCUGAGCCUCCCAUCAUAAAUUUGGUCACAUACCCAUAAACACCCACUUUAUGAUGGGAAGAUCAGGUUCCAAGGUAACUGGGUGGCCGUAAUCAAGAUGUUUCUCAAAAUGAGAACAGCUAUCUACAGAAGACGGCGUACCUUUGCUCCAAAGUCCAAAAGGUCACUGUGCUAUGAUUUACCUACAGGAUCCUGCCAAAGGCCCCCUACCACCACCCUAUCUACCACUGAUACUUCAAGCACCGUCAUAUAUCCUGUUAUUUGCCCAGGUGGCAGAAUAACUUUCAGAGAAGUCUAAACUUGUUAUAGGGCUUUCUCUAUCUCUUGGCAUCUUUCAAAACUAAGAGCUCUUCAUAUCUCCCAGUAACUGGAUCAGAAAUAGCACAGUGCCUAACCCUAAUCUGUUACCUCUAAAGUCCAAAGAGGUUUUCUAGGCAUCAUACCUCUUUUUUCAUGGUAGAAAAACCUUUUCCUUAGGCCCAGAAAAGAUAUCUGGGGAUAUCCCAGACACAGGAUUCCUAAGAAAUUUCACUGUAGUGGCCUUUCACCGAAUUAUGUGGGAUUUAUCUCCCACCCUCUGGCAUGUAUGUACCUAGAUCAUUACUAUUCCCUAUUGAAUAAUCCAAUCAGCACUUCUCAUCAAUGGAAUGACUCAGUGUAAUGCCCUAUGGAAUGGGGAGGCAAUCAAGGUCCCUGAAGACAGGAUUAUGACAAAAGGCAGGAGAGCUGAAAGAGCACGCGCGCACGCGCGCGCACACACACACACACACACACACACACACACAGAGUGAAGUUGUAUUGCUACCCUGUCAGCUAAAAGAAAAUUCCGUCAUAUGGUCUUUAAUAACAGGUAUAGAGAAAUCAUCAUUUGACAUGUUUAAUAGCUGCAUACCAGGUUCCAGGAUAUGGGUUGAUUUGUUUCAAUAUUAAAGCAUAAUCUAUAAUAGUACCUGAUUAUACUUGCAAUAAUCACUGUCAUUCCCCAAGAUCCACCUGUCUUCUGCACAGGCCAUUCAGCUAAGUUGAAUGAGGAUAUGUUAGGAACCACCAACCUUCCUCUUUCAAGUAUUUGAUGAGGACAUUCAUCUUUGCGGCUUCUCUGGGAAUACAGUAUUACUUUUUGGUUUCGUACUUUGGUAGGUGGAGACAGUUCAGGUGACCUAAACUGGGCUUUCCUACCACAGAUCAAGGAACAUAUGUGGGAAUUCUACCAUUGUCUAAGUAUGCCCAUGCAAGUCAUACCUUAUGGAACUGAGGAAUAACACCACAAGGUAGGUUUAGAGACUCACAAGGCCUACUGUUUAGUCAACAAAAGUCAAAACUCCAUUGAUCACCUGACCUUAUUAAGCCCCAAAUCCCAUUGAUGAACUCUAAUGGCAUUUAGGAUCUUGAUGAAAUAGUGUCAAUUUAAAGCCAUGUCCAGAAAUCCCUGAAAAUCUGAUUAUCUACUCCUCCCCAAUGCACAAUCAUGCAGGGAAAUGGUCACAGGGCCUCCCUCGGGAAGAUGGGAAGGAAUAGUUACAUUAUACAUUCUGUGUUGUGUAGCAAGGUCCUUUGUCACUGAGGCCCAGCACCCCCUAUCCACACAAAGGCCCUGGGUCAAUGAAUCUGUGUGAGUCUGGGAAUGGGCUGCAGGAUCAUUCUCUUCUCCAUCACUAAGCUCUGUCGACUCCCCAGUGUCAUGCCUAGGUGUCUCGUCCUCUCACUCUGCACUCUCACCAUAAUAAAAUUCAUCUACAUGGUGGCUUCAAUUACUACCUAUCAUCAAAUGCUCUACAAGCAGUCUCCAAUGUCAGCCACUCCUCAGCUGCGGCUGUCUAUAUAAGCACCUACCAAAAUACACCUCAAAUUCAGCAAGUUUGACUCUAAAUGCUUCUCGACUCCAGAGCUCCACAUUAGAGCCAAAGACGCCACCAUCUAUCCAUUGGAGAAAAUCCCAGUCCUAAGAGCCAGCCCCAACACCUACCUCCACCUCACUCAAUCCAUCAUUGAUUCUCAUGGAUCUUAUCGCCUAAAUUUUUCUCAAACCCAAUAAUUUUCUCUAUUUCUACCACCACCAAUCUAGUCAAACUCUCUA
RNAcentral lists this long non-coding RNA (6188 nucleotides) under Sus scrofa (pig). RNAcentral's name for it is "lncRNA (ENSSSCG00050027926.1)". The record is from RNAcentral. Lineage: Eukaryota; Metazoa; Chordata; Mammalia; Artiodactyla; Suidae.